UGUUAAAAUAGCCAGCCGCGUGCUGCCAGCCGUGUUUUCGUUGGCGGAACCCCCAGUGGUAGUUUUCCACCUGCUUGUGCCGAAAGCCCAUAACCAAAAAGCAAUUGCAGACCUGCAGAGGUCCGAGCAGAUCACACCCAAUUCCCCGGAGCAGUUGGAGCGAGUGGCCCACAAGUUCAACGAGGAUUUGCAGCAGAAACUCCUCUCGACGCGCACCGCCAGCGACCAGGCCCUCAAGUACCGUGUUGUGGAGCUCUGCGCCCUCAUCCAACGCACCCCCGCCCUUGAGCUCUACACCCAUCUGCGAAGCGGGCUCCAGAAGGAGCUCCAGUUGGCCACCGAGAAGAGUGUGGCUUCCAGUGCCGGGCAGUCGAUGCCAAUGCCAUACAACAUGAACAACGCCGGCUACAUGGACACCAGCGACAUAAUGGUGGGGGUGACUAAUGGUGCCAUGGCCCCCAGCCACAACGUCGUUCCAUCUCCCGGACUGGGAAUGGUCACCCCGAAGGUGGAGCUGUACGAGGUGCAGCACCAGAUCGUGUCCACCCUCCACGAGUUCACCAGUUGCCGCAACGCUCUGAACGGCCUCGUCCAGAACUACACCUAUAUGAUGAACUCGAUGCCAUCGCCCAACGCCGAGGUGCUCCUCAAGAGCCUCCUUGACGAGAAGGCCUCCAUUGUCAAUCUACUGCGGCGCAGCUUUAUGUACUACGAGACCCUGAACGACCUGGUCAUCCACGAGCUGAAGAACUGGCGGCGCCAGCAGGCCCUCGCCGGCAACGGAGCUGCCUUCAACGAAGGCGCCCUGGACGACAUCCAGCGCUGCUUCGAGAUGCUGGAGGCACUGGUGGCCCAAAUGCUAGAGGCUGUCAACGAGCUAAUUCGCGUGCAGCUGGGCACCGAUGAGCCAGAACUAAUCCAUCUGCGGGAGCAGGUGAAGAUUGCACAGAAGAACCUGGUGAUAUCCGCCUUCAUAGUGGACAAGCAGCCGCCGCAGGUGAUGAAGACCAACACACGCUUUGCCGCCUCGGUGCGCUGGCUCAUUGGCUCCCAGCUGGGCAUCCACAACAACCCACCCACCGUGGAGUGCAUCAUUAUGUCAGAAUUGCAGUCGCAACGCUUCGUGUCCCGCGGCACCCAGCUGGAAAGCACCAUGUCCGGGCAAUCCUCGGGUGAAAUUCUAAACGCCUCCAGCAGCAUGGAGUACCAGUCGAACAACCACGUCUUCUCCGCCAGUUUCCGCAACAUGCAGCUGAAGAAAAUCAAGCGUGCCGAGAAGAAGGGCACUGAGAGCGUCAUGGACGAGAAGUUCGCUCUCUUCUUUUACACAACCACGUCGGUGAAUGACUACCACAUCCGCGUCUGGACCCUUUCUCUGCCUGUGGUGGUGAUCGUGCACGGCAAUCAGGAGCCCCAGUCGUGGGCCACCAUUACCUGGGACAAUGCCUUCGCGGAGGUUAUCCGCGAACCGUUUGUAAUCACCGAUCGGGUCACCUGGCCCCAGCUAUCGGCGGCACUAAACACAAAGUUCGGAUCCAGCACACAGCGCUUCCUGACGGCGGACAACCUGGAGUUCCUCUUUGAGAAACUUCAGCGGGAGGAGCGCUCCGAGUAUAUUACGUGGAACCAAUUCUGCAAGGAGCCCAUGCCCGACCGGACGUUCACUUUCUGGGAAUGGUUCUUUGCCAUCAUGAAACUCACCAAAGACCACAUGUUGGGCAUGUGGAAGGCUGGCUGCAUCAUGGGCUUCAUCAACAAGGCCAAGGCGCAGGAUGCCUUGUUGCGUUCGAAUACGGGAAUCGGGACCUUCCUGCUUCGCUUCUCCGACAGCGAGCUCGGUGGUGUCACCAUUGCCUACGUGAACGAAAUGGGAUCGGUCACCAUGCUGGCUCCUUGGACGGCCCGUGACUUCCAGGUCCUUAACCUGGCUGAUCGCAUCCGCGACUUGGAUGUUCUUCGCUGGCUUCACCCCUCUGACACCACUAUGGUGGCCCAGCUGCGCGACCGCGCCUUCGGCGAGUUCUUCUCGAGGCGUCAGGAACGAAACCCCCGCUCUCUAGAACCCUCCCCCGGAUAUGUGCCGAGCACGCUGCACGUCCAGGUCUGUAGCAGCAACGGCGAUGGUGGAUCCAUCAGCGGCACUCCGCAGCACGUGCCGCAGCAAGACACCUUACCAAUGGGAAAUGUUUCGCCAUUGAGCAUUGUGCCCUAUUUGAAUAGCCCACGAACUGAGGAUUCCGAUUCCGAUGACAGCCAGGUGGCCGAAGCACUGGGCCAGAUCCUUGCUAAUACCCCGCCCAACCACCCCCUCUUGGAUCAGUUCAAUAACUCGCUCCUGGGUAUCACAGAGAUCAGUAACGCCUUGAGGGAUAGCCUAAUAAGUGACGAGUCACCAAGUGCCAGUGAUCUAGUGGACGAACUGAUGAGGGAUGACGAUAAUCUCGUGCUGCGAUCCUGUAGAUCGGGAGUUAGAAAUUUUUAUUGACAAGAAAAGAGAUAAAACACGCUGUGCCAUUGCCUUCACUCUGUCUAUCUAAUCUGCCACCGGUUCUGACACUUACCGCAAGCGGUGAUUUCGGAAUGACGGACUUUGAUUCGAUGACGAACUUUGAGCUUUUGUGAAUCGCCAAACAACCUCCAGAACAACAUCCACCACAACAACAUGAAUUUGAACUACCAGAGCAAUGCAUGCAAAUUGCGACACCUGAACACAAACACCUUUGCCACACAACCAGAACAUUUCUUAUAUCGUGAUUAUGAUUGUGUCUGACGUAUGCAGCCAGUUCCUUAUGGAAUGCCUGCCUUGUAUAAACCUAUGGAAUGUGUCCCGAGCAUGUGUUAUUCGUUUUGUAUUUUUAUGUAUAACUCUUUAUAUAUGUAGACAUAUACUUUGAUUUUUUUGUACCAUUGCGUUUUUCUGUGACAAAGCAUUACUUUUAAACGAUGCGACCUGCGACCGAUGGCGAGGAUAACUGGCUGGCGGAGCAUCGCUUUAGUUAGUUAGUAACUAUUUGUUGAAUCUAAAUUUAUGAGUUUAAUUUGAAUCGAUUACGUUUAACAACUAAGUGUAAAAUUUACCAUAUUUUGCGUGCUAAGACCUAUGUUUAGAGCGAUUUAGAGCGACGAAGAGGAAAUCGAACGACGAGCAGCCCUGCGAGAUAAGAAUUGCGUUAAUUUUAGUUAUGUAUCAUGUAAGAACCAUUGUGAAUUUGCUUUAUGUCAAAACACCCUCCUUUAAUUGGCUUCCAAUGCUGAAAGUGCGUAAAAUUUAACCAAUCCAUGUAUAUUUUUAGUUUGUUUGAGUCAGGGCACAGAUUGCAAUGCAUUUCAAAUGCAAUAGCCUAUUGCCUUUAGUCAGUUUACCAGAGACACGAGGGGAACCAACACAAAGUUUAUAUAUAUGCGACAAUGUAAGCAUAAUCAUCUAUGUAACAACUACAAUAACACACGAGUACACUAAGCUUUGCACGUGAACCUUUAUAAGACUUAAGACCACCCUCAAAAUAAAUGAGUAACUUAGUAAACAUUUCAAAAACA
RNAcentral lists this unclassified non-coding RNA (3537 nucleotides) under Drosophila ananassae. RNAcentral's name for it is "GF23202". Lineage: Eukaryota; Metazoa; Arthropoda; Insecta; Diptera; Drosophilidae. The record is from RNAcentral.